UACGGAGGGGGCUAGCGUUGCUCGGAAUCACUGGGCGUAAAGGGUGCGUAGGCGGGUCUUUAAGUCAGGGGUGAAAUCCUGGAGCUCAACUCCAGAACUGCCUUUGAUACUGAGGAUCUUGAGUUCGGGAGAGGUGAGUGGAACUGCGAGUGUAGAGGUGAAAUUCGUAGAUAUUCGGAAGAACACCAGUGGCGAAGGCGACACACUGGCCCGUUACUGACGCUGAGGCGCGAAAGCGUGGGGAGCAAACAGG
This 253-nucleotide ribosomal RNA is filed under the name uncultured bacterium. Its description in RNAcentral is "partial 16S ribosomal RNA". It matches the Rfam family "Bacterial small subunit ribosomal RNA", at positions 524 to 776 of the family's 1533-position model. The record is from RNAcentral.